Molecule: ribosomal RNA, 500 nt
Filed under: uncultured bacterium
Lineage: Bacteria
Description: partial 16S ribosomal RNA
Rfam family: Bacterial small subunit ribosomal RNA
Source: RNAcentral
AUUGAACGCUGGCGGCAUGCCUUACACAUGCAAGUCGAACGGCAGCACGGGAGCAAUCCUGGUGGCGAGUGGCGAACGGGUGAGUAAUGUAUCGGAACGUGCCCAUUCGUGGGGGAUAACGUAGCGAAAGCUACGCUAAUACCGCAUACGAUCUAUGGAUGAAAGCGGGGGAUCGCAAGACCUCGCGCGAUUGGAGCGGCCGAUAUCAGAUUAGGUAGUUGGUGGGGUAAAGGCUCACCAAGCCGACGAUCUGUAGCUGGUCUGAGAGGACGACCAGCCACACUGGGACGGAGACACGGCCCAGACUCCUACGGGAGGCAGCAGUGGGGAAUUUUGGACAAUGGGCGCAAGCCUGAUCCAGCAAUGCCGCGUGCAGGAUGAAGGCCUUCGGGUUGUAAACUGCUUUUGUACGGAACGAAACGGCGAGCUCUAAUACAGUUUGCUAAUGACGGUACCGUAAGAAUAAGCACCGGCUAACUACGUGCCAGCAGCCGCGGUAA